Molecule: ribosomal RNA, 265 nt
Filed under: uncultured bacterium
Lineage: Bacteria
Description: partial 16S ribosomal RNA
Rfam family: Bacterial small subunit ribosomal RNA
Source: RNAcentral
AUUGAACGCUGGCGGCAGGCCUAACACAUGCAAGUCGAGCGGUAGAGAGGUGCUUGCAUCUCUUGAGAGCGGCGGACGGGUGAGUAAUGCCUAGGAAUCUGCCUAGUGGUGGGGGAUAACGUUCGGAAACGGACGCUAAUACCGCAUACGUCCUACGGGAGAAAGCGGGGGAUCUUCGGACCUCGCGCCAUUAGAUGAGCCUAGGUCGGAUUAGCUAGUUGGUGAGGUAAUGGCUCACCAAGGCGACGAUCCGUAACUGGUCUGA